UACGUAGGGGGCCAGCGUUGUUCGGAAUUACUGGGUGUAAAGGGUUCGUAGGCGGUGCGGCAAGUUGGGAGUGAAAUCUCUGGGCUUAACCCAGAGGCUGCUUUCAAAACUGCUGUGCUUGAGUGUGAGAGAGGCUCGUGGAAUUGCAGGUGUAGCGGUGAAAUGCGUAGAUAUCGUAAGGAAGACCAGUGGCGAAGGCGGGUCUCUGGACAGUUCCUGACGCUGAGGCACGAAGGUCAGGGGAGCAAACGGG
RNAcentral lists this ribosomal RNA (253 nucleotides) under uncultured bacterium. Its description in RNAcentral is "partial 16S ribosomal RNA". It matches the Rfam family "Bacterial small subunit ribosomal RNA", at positions 524 to 776 of the family's 1533-position model. The record is from RNAcentral.